AUGCAUGUCUAAGUAUAAGCCUCGACAAGGUGAAACCGCGAAUGGCUCAUUAAAUCAGUUAUGGUUCCUUAGAUCGUUCCAUCCUACUUGGAUAACUGUAGUAAUUCUAGAGCUAAUACAUGCGACGAAGCUCCGACCCGCGAGGGGAAGAGCGCUUUUAUUAGACCAAGACCGGAACGGCUCUCUCGGGGGCCGUACAACCUUUGGUGACUCUGGACAACUCUAGCAGAUCGCACGGCCUCKGUGCCGGCGACGUAUCUUUCAAAUGUCUGCCCUAUCAACUUUCGACGGUUGGUGACUUGCCAACCGUGGUGAUAACGGGUAGCGGGGAAUCAGGGUUCGAUUCCGGAGAGGGAGCAUGAGAAACGGCUACCACA
This 377-nucleotide ribosomal RNA is filed under the name Spionidae sp. USNM IZ 1450560. Its description in RNAcentral is "SSU rRNA". The record is from RNAcentral. Lineage: Eukaryota; Metazoa; Annelida; Polychaeta; Spionida; Spionidae.